AUACGAAGGGGGCUAGCGUUGUUCGGAAUUACUGGGCGUAAAGAGUACGUAGGCGGUUUGUUAAGUUAGAUGUGAAAGCCCCGGGCUUAACCUGGGAACUGCAUUUAAAACUGGCAAACUAGAGUUGGAUAGAGGGAAGUGGAAUUUCAGGUGUAGCGGUGAAAUGCGUAGAGAUCUGAAGGAAUACCAGUGGCGAAGGCGACUUCCUGGACUCAAACUGACGCUGAGGUACGAAAGCGUGGGUAGCAAACGGAAUUAGAAACCCUAGUAGUCC
This 274-nucleotide ribosomal RNA is filed under the name uncultured bacterium. Its description in RNAcentral is "partial 16S ribosomal RNA". It matches the Rfam family "Bacterial small subunit ribosomal RNA", at positions 523 to 796 of the family's 1533-position model. The record is from RNAcentral.